This 366-nucleotide ribosomal RNA is filed under the name uncultured microorganism. RNAcentral's name for it is "bacterial SSU rRNA". It matches the Rfam family "Bacterial small subunit ribosomal RNA", at positions 366 to 726 of the family's 1533-position model. The record is from RNAcentral.
CCACAAUGGACGAAAGUCUGAUGGAGCGACGCCGCGUGCGGGAUGAAGGCCUUAUGGGUUGUAAACCGCUGUCAGGGGGAAGAACAUCGGAAUGAACAAUACUCAUUCCGACUGACGUUACCCCAGGGGAAGCUCCGGCCAACUCCGUGCCAGCAGCCGCGGUAAUACGGGGGAGCAAGCGUUGUCCGGAAUUAUUGGGCGUAAAGGGCGUGUAGGCGGCGAGGUAAGUCGAAUGUGAAAUCUCACGGCUCAACCGUGAAACUGCGUUCGAAACUACCCUGCUUGAGUACGGGAGAGGUGUACGGAAUUCCUGGUGUAGCGGUGGAAUGCGUAGAUAUCAGGAAGAACACCGGUGGCGAAGGCGUA